CCUGGGUUGGUGUAAUGGUAACAUUUCCAUUGGCAACGGGUAGGAGACUUUCAAGCCACUUACUUGCCCUUCGGGGAGUGGAAGACUCAGGUUCAAAUCCUGAACUCGGGG
Molecule: transfer RNA, 111 nt
Filed under: Fusarium pseudograminearum
Lineage: Eukaryota; Fungi; Ascomycota; Sordariomycetes; Hypocreales; Nectriaceae
Description: tRNA-OTHER
Rfam family: tRNA
About the family: Transfer RNA (tRNA) molecules are approximately 80 nucleotides in length. Their secondary structure includes four short double-helical elements and three loops (D, anti-codon, and T loops). Further hydrogen bonds mediate the characteristic L-shaped molecular structure. tRNAs have two regions of fundamental functional importance: the anti-codon, which is responsible for specific mRNA codon recognition, and the 3' end, to which the tRNAs corresponding amino acid is attached (by aminoacyl-tRNA synthetases). tRNAs cope with the degeneracy of the genetic code in two manners: having more than one tRNA (with a specific anti-codon) for a particular amino acid; and 'wobble' base-pairing, i.e. permitting non-standard base-pairing at the 3rd anti-codon position.
Source: RNAcentral